Molecule: non-coding RNA, 225 nt
Organism: Heterocephalus glaber (naked mole-rat)
Lineage: Eukaryota; Metazoa; Chordata; Mammalia; Rodentia; Bathyergidae
Source: RefSeq, a predicted model, not a curated record
CCACCGCCUGCUCGCGGACCUCCACCACAGGAUUCUCCGGGGCCACUGCCGCGGGGCAAGAGGGGCAGUGGGUCAAGAGCGGCCCCGAGGACACAGGAGUCCAGUCCCCAGCACUCACCACGGGUGCCAUUGAAGAACAGGGUCUGCCUUGCUGGGUUCUGGAUGACAACGAUGGAUCCAUCGUACUGGUGUAGACGGCAGGUGAUCUCAGCCACCCCACCCUCA